This 853-nucleotide long non-coding RNA is filed under the name Homo sapiens (human). RNAcentral's name for it is "HSALNT0016010". Lineage: Eukaryota; Metazoa; Chordata; Mammalia; Primates; Hominidae. The record is from RNAcentral.
ACUUUAAGUCAAAAUCUGGAACUGACUAAGCUUAGCAAAGAAGGCAUGUCAACAGCUGAGAUGGGCCAAAAGCUAGGCCUCUGGUGCCAGUUAGCCAAGUUGUGAAUGCAAAGGAAAAGUUAUUGAAGGAAAUUAAAUAUUCUACUGCAGUGAACACACGCAUAAUAAGAAAGCAAUACAGCCUCAUUGCUGAUAUGAAGACAGUUUUAGUGGUCUGGAUAGAAGAUCAAAUCAGCCACAACAUUCCCUUAAAAGCCAAAGCUUAAUACAGAGUGAGGCCUUUAACUCUUUUCAAUUCUAUAACUUAAUUCUAUUGCACACUUAAUAGACUACAGUAUUGUAUAAACAUAACUUUUUUUAAUGUUCUCAAAGCUUUAAUUUAGAAAGAUACCAUGUUAAUUACAUAGCUUCAGUCUCAACGUACAAGCAGAGUACAGUAGGUAUUUAAAACUGAAUGAAGGAGACCUCUAGAAUUAAAAUUUUUACUAGGAAGAGUUCUCACCUGGGUUCAUUAGUGGCAGAACUUUCUCCUGAAAUGCAAAUAAAACAAAAUUCAUUUCAGAGAAGGAAGCUUUAUCUCUUAAAAUUUUGACAUGAUUUAACUACGUAUAAUCAGCUGGUAAGACAUAAGAUAUAGAAGAGUAAUCCAAUUGUAUUUCAUCUAAAUGGCUACUUAUUUAUUCCAACACAACUAGUUGUUAGUAAAAUAAUUCAUUCUUUUUUUCCCACUGAUUUAAAAUGCCACUUCAAAUGGCAAACCCGUCAUGCACUGGUAACUGUUUCUUUAUUUUCUAUUCUGUUCUAUUGUCUCUUUGUCUAUUCAUGUACCUGUACAAUGUUGUUUUAACUAUCC